RNAcentral lists this ribosomal RNA (2908 nucleotides) under Serratia nevei. RNAcentral describes it as "23S ribosomal RNA". It matches the Rfam family "Bacterial large subunit ribosomal RNA". Lineage: Bacteria; Pseudomonadati; Pseudomonadota; Gammaproteobacteria; Enterobacterales; Yersiniaceae. The record is from RNAcentral.
GGUUAAGUGACUAAGCGUACACGGUGGAUGCCUAGGCAGUCAGAGGCGAUGAAGGGCGUGCUAAUCUGCGAAAAGCGUCGGUAAGGUGAUAUGAACCGUUACAACCGGCGAUACCCGAAUGGGGAAACCCAGUGUGUUUCGACACACUAUCAUGUCAUGAAUACAUAGUGGCAUGAGGCGAACCGGGGGAACUGAAACAUCUAAGUACCCCGAGGAAAAGAAAUCAACCGAGAUUCCCCCAGUAGCGGCGAGCGAACGGGGAGGAGCCCAGAACCUGAAUCGGCUUGUGUGUUAGUGGAAGCGUCUGGAAAGUCGCGCAGUAAAGGGUGAUAGCCCCGUACACUAAAAUGCACAGGUCGUGAGUUCGAUGAGUAGGGCGGGACACGUGACAUCCUGUCUGAAUAUGGGGGGACCAUCCUCCAAGGCUAAAUACUCCUGACUGACCGAUAGUGAACCAGUACCGUGAGGGAAAGGCGAAAAGAACCCCGGCGAGGGGAGUGAAAUAGAACCUGAAACCGUGUACGUACAAGCAGUGGGAGCACCUUCGUGGUGUGACUGCGUACCUUUUGUAUAAUGGGUCAGCGACUUAUAUUUUGUAGCAAGGUUAACCGUAUAGGGGAGCCGUAGGGAAACCGAGUCUUAACUGGGCGAAUAGUUGCAAGGUAUAGACCCGAAACCCGGUGAUCUAGCCAUGGGCAGGUUGAAGGUUGGGUAACACUAACUGGAGGACCGAACCGACUAAUGUUGAAAAAUUAGCGGAUGACUUGUGGCUGGGGGUGAAAGGCCAAUCAAACCGGGAGAUAGCUGGUUCUCCCCGAAAGCUAUUUAGGUAGCGCCUCGUGAACUCAUCUUCGGGGGUAGAGCACUGUUUCGGCUAGGGGGCCAUCCCGGCUUACCAAACCGAUGCAAACUCCGAAUACCGAAGAAUGUUAUCACGGGAGACACACGGCGGGUGCUAACGUCCGUCGUGAAGAGGGAAACAACCCAGACCGCCAGCUAAGGUCCCAAAGUCAUGGUUAAGUGGGAAACGAUGUGGGAAGGCAUAGACAGCCAGGAUGUUGGCUUAGAAGCAGCCAUCAUUUAAAGAAAGCGUAAUAGCUCACUGGUCGAGUCGGCCUGCGCGGAAGAUGUAACGGGGCUAAACCAUGCACCGAAGCUGCGGCAGCGACGCUUAGGCGUUGUUGGGUAGGGGAGCGUUCUGUAAGCCGUUGAAGGUGGCCUGUGAGGGUUGCUGGAGGUAUCAGAAGUGCGAAUGCUGACAUAAGUAACGAUAAAGCGGGUGAAAAGCCCGCUCGCCGGAAGACCAAGGGUUCCUGUCCAACGUUAAUCGGGGCAGGGUGAGUCGACCCCUAAGGCGAGGCUGAAAAGCGUAGUCGAUGGGAAACAGGUUAAUAUUCCUGUACUUGGUGUUACUGCGAAGGGGGGACGGAGAAGGCUAGGCUAGCCGGGCGACGGUUGUCCCGGUUUAAGCGUGUAGGGGGUGUGACCUGGUAAAUCCGGUUACAUAUCAACCCUGAGGCGUGAUGACGAUGCACUACGGUGCAGAAGUAGUUGAUGCCCUGCUUCCAGGAAAAGCCUCUAAGCUCCAGGUAACAUUAAAUCGUACCCCAAACCGACACAGGUGGUCAGGUAGAGAAUACCAAGGCGCUUGAGAGAACUCGGGUGAAGGAACUAGGCAAAAUGGUGCCGUAACUUCGGGAGAAGGCACGCUGGCAUGUAGGUGAAGUCCCUUGCGGAUGGAGCUGAAGCCAGUCGAAGAUACCAGCUGGCUGCAACUGUUUAAUAAAAACACAGCACUGUGCAAACACGAAAGUGGACGUAUACGGUGUGACGCCUGCCCGGUGCUGGAAGGUUAAUUGAUGGGGUCAGCCGCAAGGCGAAGCUCUUGAUCGAAGCCCCAGUAAACGGCGGCCGUAACUAUAACGGUCCUAAGGUAGCGAAAUUCCUUGUCGGGUAAGUUCCGACCUGCACGAAUGGCGUAAUGAUGGCCAGGCUGUCUCCACCCGAGACUCAGUGAAAUUGAACUCGCUGUGAAGAUGCAGUGUACCCGCGGCAAGACGGAAAGACCCCGUGAACCUUUACUAUAGCUUGACACUGAACAUUGAGCCUUGAUGUGUAGGAUAGGUGGGAGGCUUUGAAGCGUGGACGCCAGUCUGCGUGGAGCCAUCCUUGAAAUACCACCCUUUAAUGUUUGAUGUUCUAACUCGGCCCCAUAAUCUGGGGUGAGGACAGUGUCUGGUGGGUAGUUUGACUGGGGCGGUCUCCUCCCAAAGAGUAACGGAGGAGCACGAAGGUUAGCUAAUCACGGUCGGACAUCGUGAGGUUAGUGCAAAGGCAUAAGCUAGCUUGACUGCGAGAGUGACGGCUCGAGCAGGUACGAAAGUAGGUCUUAGUGAUCCGGUGGUUCUGAAUGGAAGGGCCAUCGCUCAACGGAUAAAAGGUACUCCGGGGAUAACAGGCUGAUACCGCCCAAGAGUUCAUAUCGACGGCGGUGUUUGGCACCUCGAUGUCGGCUCAUCACAUCCUGGGGCUGAAGUAGGUCCCAAGGGUAUGGCUGUUCGCCAUUUAAAGUGGUACGCGAGCUGGGUUUAGAACGUCGUGAGACAGUUCGGUCCCUAUCUGCCGUGGGCGUUGGAAGAUUGAGAGGGGUUGCUCCUAGUACGAGAGGACCGGAGUGAACGCACCACUGGUGUUCGGGUUGUCAUGCCAAUGGCAUUGCCCGGUAGCUAAGUGCGGAAAAGAUAAGCGCUGAAAGCAUCUAAGCGCGAAACUUGCCUCAAGAUGAGUCUUCCCUGGGCCUUUAAGGCCCCUGAAGGAACGUUUAAGACUAAGACGUUGAUAGGCUGGGUGUGUAAGUGCAGCGAUGCAUUGAGCUAACCAGUACUAAUGAUCCGUGAGGCUUAACCUU